CGCUUAUUUGAGCUCCCAGCCGGCUGUACGUCGUCGUUCUCCUUUGCUUCCCUCCAUCUGUCCCUCCCCCAUCAUCUCUUCUCUUUUUCAGCCUCCUCCCACUCUCUCUCUCUCUUGUCCUCCCUUUCUCUUUCUCUCCAUACCAAAGCCGGGGGGAGCUGGCGGAGAUUAAAUGUAGUCUCUAUAAGCCAAAGCACAUCACGUAGCAAUGUUUCUGUGGCCCCGUCCCUCUGCUGCUCCUCGGAGGACGGGGGGAAUGAUAAGAGGACGUAGAGAAAGAUCAGGCCGCAAGUGUGGAAUUUUGAAAAGUCCACUUUGUUUUCUUUUUUGCACACAAGCAGAAGGAUAGAGAUAAAUGGUUUCCUUGGAGGCACACGGACAGCAGCAAGGUGGACUACUCUUCCUCCCAAGCUCACCUUCCUCUCCCUCUGUGUCCCUCUUUCUCCCGUUCUGGCCUGAUGCAGAGGAAAAGAGGGCCUCUGGCUGUAAGUGAUCACAGCUGUGAGGCAAAUUAAAUGAUGAUCUUUCACUCUCCUCUUUCUCCGCUUUGCAAAUGUCCCUUUCACCGUUCACCUCCACCCCAUCCUGUCACCCUCUGGAAGGCGUGGAGGAAGAAAUGGAGGGGGGUGAGAAAGGUAAAAGUAGAAAGCUUGAGAGAGAAAGGUAGAAUGUGAGUGAGGCAGGGGGAGGACAUGAAGAGGGUGGAGAGAGUGUGUGUUUUUUUCUUCCAGUCUUCCCUCCUUCCAUCUCUGCAUGUGAUUGAGGAAGAAAACAAUGCGAGGGAAAAGGGUGAGGAGGAGAGAAAGCAGAGCAAGACAAGAGAUCAGCAGGCACAGUGUUUUUUUUUCCUUUAACUUGGAGGCGUGCGCACGUGUGUGUGUCUCUGUUUUAAUGUGCAUGUCCAUGCAUGGGUUUUUGAUGUCCUCUCUCUUGCCCACCUGCCUUGGACCUGCAGGUCUGGAUGAAAAGUGAGUGGAAGAUCUGCUGCAAGGAAUAGCAAAUGAGUAAACGGCUGUUUUAUGUAUGGUGUAUGCUGUGCAUUCAUGUGUGUGUGCGUGGGUGUGUGUGUGUGCCCACCCGAGCACUCUUUUUGCCUUCUCCUCCCCCCUCCUUUCUCAUCUUGGUGAGGCAGCUUACUGGUAUGCUCCGCUGGCACUGUGGCCCCAGCUGAAAGUAUGGACUCUGUCUUGGCCCUCUCUUUUUUCCCCCUUUCAUCCAUCCUUCUUCUCAUGCAGUUCUUGAUCCCACCCCCUUCUCUUUAUCCUCUGGAAUACUGGCUCUUUCUGAACUGUAAUCUUUACUCACCUUCAAUUUGUUGUUUUCUGCUAAGUUGCAGCAAAUCUGUCCUCUCGUAGGACUGCUUGCUUUCGCCCUAAUUGUGUGCGGAUGUGUGUGUGUGAAAAAUAGAGGGAGGGAAAAAAGAAAGAGAGCAUGCACAUGGUUCAUUCCAGCUCUGUCCUGCCACCCAUCCUCAUCCUUGGCUCAGCCUGUCGCUCUCGCUCUGUUUGUUUAGCCAGACUUGGAGCGGCUCGCCCAGGAGGAAUAGUCUCCCUUGUAUUGAAUCCACUUUUUACGACAAAAUAACAAUUAGAAACGCUCUUCUUUUUUUCCUCAGUAUCAGAGGAAUCGUCCUGGCAUGCUGUAAGCUUUCUCUUUCUAUGUGUGUGCUUUUUUUAUCUUCCAACUCCCAAGCAGGCAGAGAGCAAAAGGAGCACUGGGCGGUGAGGGCAUCCUGGACCCAAAGGGGAGGAUUCUUUGUGUCAUUUCCCCGACCACUGAUAUUCCUCAGUCAGUUCCAAGGAAUAGCGCCUGUGGCGCACUGCCGGCACCGAAACUCAAGUGAUGUCCAAUCAACUAGAUCACUGAAUGGACUUGCCAUUUAUGUUUCACAAAGAAAUGUAAAAUUUCAGUCAUUCACUGGCUGUAAAUGCUUUGAACAGAGUGUGCAGCUGCUUUCAAGUUACUGUCUGCAAAUGCAGGCAUUCUAUUAGUGGGGAUUGUCCCCUUCAGGCCAGAGUUGGUGGGGACAUGUCCACACCGGUCCUCCAGGAAGCUACGCCUAUGGAAGAAAACCAACUAUCUAGUUACCACUAUAAAUUUUAAUUUAACAAGUACAUUAAUUAUUCUUUUUCUAGGUCUUGAAAAAAGCUGAUUCAUUUUACUUUGGCUCUAAAUCUAGAAAUUUUAGUUUUGUAAAAAGAAUGGAACUUAGAAAUAAGAAAUGUGGCUCCCUGAAAUACAAACACAACAUAAAUAGAUGGUAUAGUGUUAAAUGACAUGCUUUUUUGCUUCCUAAUAUAGUCGUAAUCUGGGAGCACUGAGGCGCUCUCAUCAGAAGGCUUUUGUUGGGAUGGAGUUAUUUUAUUGCUGUGUCUAAAAAAAACUUUGCUGCUGUAAUUCACAUUUCCUUUGACCUUAUUAUAUUAGAUGUGGGGUAUUUUUAUGAAACCAAAUCUGUUCAGGGUAUUUUUAUGCCACUUAGAAGGUUUCAGGCAGACUGUUUAAGAACAGAAUAAUUCUUCACUGCAUGCGUGCAUGCACGUGUAUGCGUGCGUGUGCGUGUAUUGUGUGUGUGUGUGUGUUUGUGCGUGUGUGUGACAGGAUGUAUUAAAGCAGCUCAUCUUUGACAACAAAGACCAUUAUAUUCUGCAUGAAGAUAUGAGCAGUGGACAUGAAAAGCUCCGAUUUUUCACUGCUUGCUAUAUUUUUCACCUGAUUUAAAAUGGGAGGUUUUAUUUAGAAAUUUAUUUUGCAUAGUUAUAGUUUACAAAAUAAUACAACAACAAUGCAAAUAAGAGUCACAAGUAGCACAAGUAAUUAUGAGGGGUUGCGGUAAAUUUAAAGGUUUUGUGUAUGAUAUUGUUUUAUACUUCUAUUACUCUUAAAUGAAGAAAUAGUGGAUGCAAGCAUCUGUACAGUUCCAGUGUAACUCUGUUUGUUCUCUGAUAUAGCUGUACGUUGGAUACCUGUUGUACACUCAACAGGUUUUGUCUUUCUCUCUAUUUCAGAUGAUUAAACCAGAUCAUAACAUGUUGAAACAGGCCAGGUACCUGAGAUGGAUUACAAAGUCUUAGCUGCCCCUAUGAACGCACACACACACACACACACACGCACACACACACACACACACGCACGCACACACACGCACACCCGCACACACCCUUCUCGGUAUGGGAUGUCAUUUCCAGAAUGUACAUUUAAAUAUUCCUGCAUGUCUCCUUGAAUGUCUCUGUGAAAUACUGUAAUGACAAUAAAAUACAUCUAAAGUU
Molecule: long non-coding RNA, 3269 nt
Organism: Gambusia affinis (western mosquitofish)
Lineage: Eukaryota; Metazoa; Chordata; Actinopteri; Cyprinodontiformes; Poeciliidae
Exons: 2
Source: RefSeq, a predicted model, not a curated record